RNAcentral lists this non-coding RNA (119 nucleotides) under Mollicutes bacterium. RNAcentral's name for it is "FMN sequence". It matches the Rfam family "FMN riboswitch aptamer (RFN element)". Rfam says of the family: The RFN element is a highly conserved domain that is found frequently in the 5'-untranslated regions of prokaryotic mRNAs that encode for flavin mononucleotide (FMN) biosynthesis and transport proteins. This element is a metabolite-dependent riboswitch that directly binds FMN in the absence of proteins. RNAcentral also lists the same sequence under 1 other name. The record is from RNAcentral. Lineage: Bacteria; Bacillati; Mycoplasmatota; Mollicutes.
AUUAAUCUUCAGGGCAGGGUGUGAUUCCCGACCGGUGGUAUAGUCCACGAGCGUGAUAAGACGCAUGAACAGGUGUAACUCCUGUACCGAUAGUAUAGUCUAGAUGAAAGAAGAUAUUA